Molecule: ribosomal RNA, 253 nt
Filed under: uncultured bacterium
Lineage: Bacteria
Description: partial 16S ribosomal RNA
Rfam family: Bacterial small subunit ribosomal RNA
Source: RNAcentral
UACGGGGGGGGCAAGCGUUGUUCGGAAUUACUGGGCGUAAAGGGCUCGUAGGCGGCCAACUAAGUCAGACGUGAAAUCCCUCGGCUUAACCGGGGAACUGCGCCUGAUACUGGAUGGCUUGAGGUUGGGAGAGGGAUGCGGAAUUCCAGGUGUAGCGGUGAAAUGCGUAGAUAUCUGGAGGAACACCGGUGGCGAAGGCGGCAUCCUGGACCAAUUCUGACGCUGAGGAGCGAAAGCCAGGGGAGCAAACGGG